Molecule: RNA transcript, 943 nt
Organism: Triticum aestivum (bread wheat)
Lineage: Eukaryota; Viridiplantae; Streptophyta; Magnoliopsida; Poales; Poaceae
Gene name: transcription initiation factor TFIID subunit 1
Exons: 3
Source: RefSeq, a predicted model, not a curated record
ACGUCAGCCUCUGCACUUCUUCCUCGCCCUCAAGCGCUGGCAGGAGAGAAAAACUGUGCGUCCGCAUCUGACCGGCGCACCUCCGCGAUCUCCCUCCACCUCCGCGAUCUCCCUCCACCUCUUCUCUCUGUGCUGCAACAUACAAGCAGCAGUGGCCACAACCAGGCAUGGGGACGGAGGAACAGCUGCAGCCACGCAUGGGCGCGAGCAACGGCAGAGGCCACAUCCACGCAUUUGGGCGCGAGCAGGAGCACCGGCCACGCACGGGCACGCGAGCUGCCGUCUGCUCCAGAGCACGGACGCACCGCAACAGGGGCAGGGGCGCGAGCAGCGGCAGCGUCCACGCGGCCACUGGAGCAUCCUCGCACCCUCCUACCUCGCCGCCCAGAUCCCACUUUACUUCACAUGGGCGGUGGCAACGACGAGCACAAGAAGGCAAGUCGUCCGGCGACCACAAGGAGAAGAAGGACAAGAAGCACGGCGAGGGCCACAAGGACGGCAAUAGCCACAACAACAACAGCAACAGCGACAACAACUGAGCGAGCUUCGGCCGCGCUCCGGCAGCGUGCGGGUACGAAUGGUGGUCACCGUCAUCAUUGCAGGUGAGGUGAAGGCUUGGGUGAAUUUGAGCGUGUAGUAGCUUAUGUAUGUAAUGCGUGACAUGUCUCAUGGAUCUUGUGAUGUAAUAACCGGUUGCAUUGCACUGCAUGGUGCUUGUAAUAAUAAGGUUAUGGAAUCAUGUUGGUAUUGAUGUAUCUCCAUUGGUAGUUUGGUAUCACCAUAUUUUUCAACCUUUUUGUGUAUGUAUGUGGUGUCUCUGUUCAUCUCUGGAUCUCUCGGCCAGAGCUUGAUUAACGGCUGGGAUCAUUUAGGAAUGGUUAUUGGUGUUCUGUUUUUUCCUCUUUUCAGCUUCAGAACCUGUGUGGCGCUCUGUUUUCUUUCA